This 62-nucleotide transfer RNA is filed under the name Aleochara obscurella. RNAcentral describes it as "partial tRNA-Leu". The record is from RNAcentral. Lineage: Eukaryota; Metazoa; Arthropoda; Insecta; Coleoptera; Staphylinidae.
UAUGGCAGAUUAGUGCAAUGGAUUUAAGCCCCAUAUAUAAAGUUUAUACUUUUUUUAGAAUA